AUGGUAGGAGAGCGUUCUAAGGGCGUCGAAGCAUGAUCGCAAGGACAUGUGGAGCGCUUAGAAGUGAGAAUGCCGGUGUGAGUAGCGAAAGACGGGUGAGAAUCCCGUCCACCGAUUGACUCAGGUUUCCAGAGGAAGGCUCGUCCGCUCUGGGUUAGUCGGGUCCUAAGCUGAGGCCGACAGGCGUAGGCGAUGGAUAACAGGUUGAUAUUCCUGUACCACCUAGUAUCGUUUUAAU
RNAcentral lists this ribosomal RNA (238 nucleotides) under Staphylococcus epidermidis. Its description in RNAcentral is "partial 23S ribosomal RNA". It matches the Rfam family "Bacterial large subunit ribosomal RNA", at positions 1225 to 1463 of the family's 2925-position model. Lineage: Bacteria; Bacillati; Bacillota; Bacilli; Caryophanales; Staphylococcaceae. The record is from RNAcentral.